This 481-nucleotide ribosomal RNA is filed under the name uncultured eukaryote. RNAcentral's name for it is "partial small subunit ribosomal RNA". It matches the Rfam family "Eukaryotic small subunit ribosomal RNA", at positions 587 to 972 of the family's 1831-position model. The record is from RNAcentral.
AGCUCUAAUAGCGUAUAUUAAUACUGUUGCAGUUAAAACGCUCGUAGUUGAACUUAGAAUUAUUACAGAUUGUUUCACUUGAUUGUGAAAUGUCUGCUUAAUUCUUAUCUACUGGAUACUCUACUCUGUACUUAAUUGUAUGGAGUAUCGCCUAGCCAGCGGAGCAAAGGUUCGUAAAUUCCUGACUUUGCACAAAGAAGUAAAAUUCUGACAUGUGAUUUUGGGGGUUAAUUUAUGAAUCUUUGUGGGGUGCCAGUUAAUUUACCUUGAGUAAAUUAGAGUGUUCAAAGCAGCCUCUUGGGGCUUUGAAUAAUUUAGCAUGGGAUAAUGGAAUAAGAUUGGAUUCCUAUUUGUUGGUUUGACGAAUCCAAUAAUGAUUAAGAGGGACAGUUGGGGGCACUCAUAUUAAGUGGUUAGCGGUGAAAUGUGUUGACCCACUUAAGAUGAACUAAAGCGAAAGCAUUUGCCAAGGAUGUUUUCA